AUUGAACGCUGGCGGCAUGCCUUACACAUGCAAGCCGAACGGUAACAGGUCUUCGGACGCUGACGAGUGGCGAACGGGUGAGUAAUACAUCGGAACGUGCCCAGUCGUGGGGGAUAACUACUCGAAAGAGUAGCUAAUACCGCAUACGAUCUGAGGAUGAAAGCGGGGGACCUUCGGGCCUCGCGCGAUUGGAGCGGCCGAUGGCAGAUUAGGUAGUUGGUGGGAUAAAAGCUUACCAAGCCGACGAUCUGUAGCUGGUCUGAGAGGACGACCAGCCACACUGGGACUGAGACACGGCCCAGACUCCUACGGGAGGCAGCAGUGGGGAAUUUUGGACAAUGGGCGAAAGCCUGAUCCAGCAAUGCCGCGUGCAGGAUGAAGGCCUUCGGGUUGUAAACUGCUUUUGUACGGAACGAAAAAGCUUCUCCUAAUACGAGAGGCCCAUGACGGUACCGUAAGAAUAAGCACCGGCUAACUAC
This 479-nucleotide ribosomal RNA is filed under the name uncultured bacterium. Its description in RNAcentral is "bacterial SSU rRNA". It matches the Rfam family "Bacterial small subunit ribosomal RNA", at positions 30 to 504 of the family's 1533-position model. The record is from RNAcentral.